Molecule: long non-coding RNA, 3863 nt
Organism: Felis catus (domestic cat)
Lineage: Eukaryota; Metazoa; Chordata; Mammalia; Carnivora; Felidae
Exons: 7
Source: RefSeq, a predicted model, not a curated record
CGUCUAACUCUAAAAAAAAAAUGAUGGUGGAGAGUGCCAGGGAAUGUUCUGAGGUCACUUUGUAUCCUUAGCUGGGUGUUCUGUGUCUUUGCCAAUAACUUACCUCUGAAGGCAGUUUGUAUCCUCAGCUGGGUGGUCUGUGUCUUUGCCAAUAAUUUACCUCACUCCCCUCCCCUGGUCAUUUUUUUAGCUUAUUUAUUUUAAGUAAUCUCUACAUCCAACAUGGGGCCUGAACCCACAAUCAAGAGUCACACACUCUUCCAAUGAGCCAGCCAGAUGCUCAUCCCCUGGUCAUUUUUUUAACCUAAAGAUUAUAGACUUCAACAAACCAAUUCAUUAACAAGGGAUAACUACAUUGAGCUCUAAUGAUGAGACACAGGGGGAGAAAACUUCCAGGAGCACUAUUCAGGAAGAUUAAACCAGUCUUCUACAGUGAGGAACAGAGGAAGUGGAGAUAUUCCCUUCCAAGAUACUUGGGAAAUAUCUGUAAUUUCUCUCAUUUAUUUCAUCUUGUGGUUCACAUAGAUGUUGAAGUGAAUGGAUCCAGAUUCAGAAAUUUCAUGAGGAGAAAAAUGGAAGUGUGAGAUUUGGCUCCCUCACUGCACUGGUUCUCCUCUGAAUUAUAGCAAGUUUUCCUUUCAGUCAGUCAAAAAAUAUUUAUUGAGCACCUACUAUGUGUCAGACACCGAGGUAGGCUCUGGGCCUAGGAUGGUGAACCAAAUGAAGGCCCCACCCUCAUGGGGUUCACAUUGUAACGUGGAAGGCAGACAAGGAACAAUGACAUUUAUGAUGUCAGGUUGUGGUAAAUGCUGAACAAAACUAGAGCAGGAUGAGAGGAGAGAGAGUGAUGGGGGUAGGGUGGUGGGUGGAUGACACUGUGCCGAGAUGAGAACAAGGUGAAGAAGGCUGUGCACAUACCUGGAGGAAGGGUGUCUCAGACAGAGAACUCAGAAUAUUGCAGCAGGAAAAAGACUGCUAUCCAGAGAACAGAGCAAACAGCUGAUGGGAAGGGUGGAAGUCCUUCUCACAUGAGGCUAGCAACCUCUUGAGUGGUCUUGGUCGGCCAAGGCAGGAGUCUGUUUGUACCCUCGUAACUCCCACUGUGCCAUGGCUCCCACGAUGCUGAAGAAGAAACUGAAAGCCUGAGGUCAUAUAGCUGAGACCUGGUCAGCCUUCCUCAGACCUGACUUUUCCAUCUUCCAGCACCAGCCUUGGCCUGACCUCUGCUCCCCCAGACCCUGCAUGGGAACUGCAACCCAGCAGAGUUGCUUCUGGUCUCUGUCCAACAUUAAAAUGGUCUAGGGAGGUGUGGAAUUGAGGUUAUUUUGUCUAAGAAGCUUCCUGUACCCUGACCAAUCCCAGUUUUUUUCCAAAUGGAUUAUGGGAGUAAAGAUUCUGUCUUUCAGUCCCACUUCCUCUGCUAACACAGUGCCAGCAGGAAGAGAGAAUGAAACACAAGGGCCCCUUCUCAUCUGGUGAACUUGAUGAUGUCUCAGAGCCCUUCCUGCUCUGACCUGCUGCCAUAUGACACCUGAUCUGAUGGCUCCCUCUUCUACAGGCCUGUAGUGUUAGGUUCAACUGAGAGAAAUGGACCUUUUAAAAAACAUAGUUGAAUAGUGGCAAAUUUCCUGUUUCAACAUGCUUUGCACCUCGUCCAGUAGAUGUCCUCCUGUUUACUGUCUUUGGUUUACAUCAGACAUUCUCAGGCCCGGCUGCACAUUAGAAUCACUCCUAGGAGCCUUUUGCAAAUUCCGGUGCUCAAGCUGCACACCCCCCAGGCCAAGUAAAUUAGAAUCUCAUGGGUGGGUCUCACACAUUUUUUUAAAAGACCCAGGUGAUUGUAUGUACCAUUAACCAGAGUUGAUGUAUGUAUAAAUGGGUUUAUGUAUAUGUACAAAUGUUCUAUUUAUGUAUAAAUGUUUUAUUUCUCAACAUCAUGGGUUUAUGUAUAAAUGUUCUAUUUCUCAGCAACAUCAUGAGUUUAUGUAUAAAUGUUCUAUUUCUCACCAAUAUCAUGGACUUCUUGAAGCUUAGUCUGAAGUCCUUUCUGGGUCUCUCAUGUUCAAAAUGUGCUAGGUCGCUGAUCUAGAGACAUUUUUAACCAUAUUUUAAUGCCUUAGAGAACUGCUCGAAAGGAAUAACAGGACUGGAUGGGCCUUUCUUACCACCAUCCUGUCUGGUUCCCACCUGGUGAAUUUGUACACAUUCUUCAAGGUCCACGUAGCUCAGGUACCAUGUCCUCCGUGAACAGCAAAACCUUGCCUGGGACUCUUUCAUUCCUGGCUCCAGGGACUGGGCCUCCAGCAGCAAACAGAGGGAAACAAGGAUCCUUCUCUCACGGGGACAGUGUACUAAUGACACGAUUUACUGAGCCCCCUUCUCUACACCAGGCACUGUGCCUUUUUGUCUUCUAACAAUCCUGCAAGGUACCAGGUACAUCUCCAAUCCAGACUUGAGGAAGUCAGGCUUAAAGAAAGUCAAGUUUCUUUGUUGUAUAGUAAGUUUGGGAUUGAGCUGGCAGACUGCAACCUAAGAUGUGUUUGGCUCUUGAACCCACAAGGCUUCCACCAUCACACACAGGUUUCCUGUUUGCUGAGCAUUGUGCUAAGCUCUUUAUAUGGAUAAUUGUAUUUCUCUUAUGCUGUCUUUAUAGAACAUUAUAUCACAUCAGGAGUAGCUGUGAACUUGUUUGAUUCCCCAGGUAGACAGGAGGGGAAGUGGAGCACAGAGGUUAAGAACACAGUUCUGAAACUGAGCUCUCUAGGUUCCAAUCCCAGCUCUGGCACUUACUGGCCAUAUGAACUUGGGUGAAAUAAGUGACCUUUCCAUUUCAGAUGCCCCCUCUGUAAAAUGGAGUUGAUAGUAAUAGUUUCUAUCUGGGGUAGUGGGAGGGUAUAAGUAAUAUAACUCAAGUGAUUAGAACAUCUGGCGCUAUUAUUUCACUGAAGUUUAUUUUUAUUUUUUGAGGAGUGAUCUAAGUCUUAUCACCUUUGUAUCCCUAGUGUUAGCACAUACUAGCAACCAAUAAUCUGUACUGCGAGGGCUGCAGAGAGAAGCCAAGGUACUGAAUAAUCUUCUCUCAAAAUCACCAACUGUUGGCAUUAAAAAAAAAAAAAAAUCAAAAAUCUCCACAGCCUCCCCUCCAACCCUUUAGUGCUUCUGUUAAUGCCCUUGGGAUUGGAAUUUGAGAUAUUCUGUCCUUAUUCCCCACCCCAUUUCCUGACUCUUAUCCCCUUGACUAGACUGGAGAUUUGUGUGUGCUCCCACAGUGGCAGGGAGGGAGGGCUGUUGGGUACUCCAGUAACUCCUUCCACACUGCUGUCUCUUCUCAGACCAGUCAAUCCUCUACCCCCUUCUUUCUACCUUUCUGAGGGCUUCCUACCCUUCCAGCCUUUACCUGGUUUCCCCACAAAGCCUUCCUGGGGGAAUGCUCCAGCCCACAGCACCCCCUCCUUCUUCUGAAUUUCUGUAGUAACAUGUUUUUUUGUAUAGUGCUCUCAUAUAUUCAUUACCCAUUUUCUCUUCACCGAGGUUGGAAGACAUGGUGUUUACUGUCCCCAUUUUAUCAAGGAUGGAAUUGAGUCUGGAAAAACGAAACAAGUUGCCUAGUCUGGACUUUAACCUAAACCUCUGACUCCAGAUCUCAGGACUUUCCACUGCUCCCUCAGUUCCUGCACCGUCCUGACGGUCACCUGGUUCUUCCUGUUGUCGUCCGCGAAGAUGGGAGUACAGCAGAUGAAGGAGCAGCCGCAGAGACAACAAGCUGCCGGCCUCCUCGGACCCCGGACUCUCAUCAGGACACGGUGGCCUGGCCGGAACCCUUCUCUCCGCGCCUGCCCUGCCGUCAGAAGUUAUGUCCGCUC